RNAcentral lists this ribosomal RNA (133 nucleotides) under uncultured bacterium. RNAcentral describes it as "partial 16S ribosomal RNA". The record is from RNAcentral.
GGUACCGUCAGCGGUUUACAGGAUUACCGUAAACCGGGUUCUUCCCGCCAGACAGAGCUUUACGACCCGAAAGCCUUCUUCACCCACGCGGCGUUGCUGCGUCAGGGUUGCCCCCAUUGCGCAAAAUUCCUCA